RNAcentral lists this long non-coding RNA (952 nucleotides) under Theobroma cacao (cacao). Its description in RNAcentral is "long non-coding RNA (TCAC_LNC004084)". Lineage: Eukaryota; Viridiplantae; Streptophyta; Magnoliopsida; Malvales; Malvaceae. The record is from RNAcentral.
CUUCACUUGCUUUGGGCUGUCAUUUUUCACUUUCUUUAUUAUUGUCUUCAACAAAUUUCCAGAACCCAUUGCUGAUGGUAAGUAUCUGUAUCGAACUUAGCAUCAACCUAACGGUAUUUUCCAAUGCAAAUGUAAUCAGAAACGACAGCAGACAGAAAUUGGAACACAAAUAAUUCAGUUUAGUAGAAGAACAUGCCAUAACGUUUUAAAGUUCAGAUUUUCUAUGCUAUGAACAUGAUUUGAUUUGAAAGUUGAAACAUUUAUUAACGGAAAGUAACUAACAGUGCCUAAACUCAAUCACCAAGCUUUUCACCAAAUGGACAAUUAGGCAACUAUCAAAGUCAACCCACCUAUCCACUAACAGAAACAAGACAGUAUUGUGAGAAGUUCAUAAAUUCAACAGCAACAACAUACACCCCAUAGUAUCAUCAACCAAAGAUUUGAUUUUUAGAAGAAAAAUUAGUUUCUAACUUUGACUCCAUGCAAAUUCACUUACUAACACCAAUGACAUCCAGAACCCAGAUCCUAGCCAUCCCCUCCUGACCAUGGGUAUCCCCAAAAUGACAUUUUAUUGUCCCUUAUGAAAGCAAGCAAAACCAGAAACAAUGAGAAACCAAACCGAAGGUAUGGGUUACAUAUGACAUACCAACAACGCUGUCCCAAAAAAGGAGAUACCUUUGGAGGAAGGGGGGCACUGAAAGCAAAGAUUUUGGGAUGGCAAAAAAAGGGAAAGAUGGUGACAACAACAGUACGAGUUGCAGUAAAGAAGAAGGAAAGCCUGAAAAUCAAAGCAAAGAAUAAUAAAAGGGUGGGUGUGGAAUGUGGAUUGCCAUGGCCCAUUACCAGCUUCACAUCUCUCUUUCUUUAUUUAUAUGUCUUCUGUUUAUUUUUUGUUUUGGUCUCCCAAAGAAUAAAAAGCUGGUCUAACAGAAAAGAAAAAGGGCAAUCAUGG